Molecule: ribosomal RNA, 429 nt
Filed under: Chloroflexota bacterium
Lineage: Bacteria; Bacillati; Chloroflexota
Description: Chloroflexi bacterium partial 16S ribosomal RNA
Rfam family: Bacterial small subunit ribosomal RNA
Source: RNAcentral
UGGGGAAUAUUGCACAAUGGGCGCAAGCCUGAUGCAGCCAUGCCGCGUGUAUGAAGAAGGCCUUCGGGUUGUAAAGUACUUUCAGUCGGGAGGAAGGUGUCAAGGUUAAUAACCUUGGCAAUUGACGUUACCGACAGAAGAAGCACCGGCUAACUCCGUGCCAGCAGCCGCGGUAAUACGGAGGGUGCAAGCGUUAAUCGGAAUUACUGGGCGUAAAGCACACGCAGGCGGUUGAUUGAGUCAGAUGUGAAAUCCCCGGGCUUAACCCGGGAAUUGCAUCUGAUACUGGUCAGCUAGAGUCUUGUAGAGGGGGGUAGAAUUCCAUGUGUAGCGGUGAAAUGCGUAGAGAUGUGGAGGAAUACCGGUGGCGAAGGCGGCCCCCUGGACAAAGACUGACGCUCAGGUGCGAAAGCGUGGGGAGCAAACAGG